RNAcentral lists this ribosomal RNA (271 nucleotides) under uncultured bacterium. RNAcentral describes it as "partial 16S ribosomal RNA". It matches the Rfam family "Bacterial small subunit ribosomal RNA", at positions 82 to 354 of the family's 1533-position model. The record is from RNAcentral.
CCUUUGCCGGCGACCGGCGCACGGGUGAGUAACACGUAUGCAACCUGCCCUCUUCAGGGGGACAACCUUCCGAAAGGGAGGCUAAUCCCGCGUAUAUCGGUUUCGGGCAUCCGAGAUCGAGGAAAGAUUCAUCGGAAGAGGAUGGGCAUGCGGCGCAUUAGCUAGACGGCGGGGUAACGGCCCACCGUGGCGACGAUGCGUAGGGGUUCUGAGAGGAAGGUCCCCCACAUUGGAACUGAGACACGGUCCAAACUCCUACGGGAGGCAGCAG